GCGGGUGUAGUUCAAUGGUAGAAUUCCAGCCUUCCAAGCUGGCAGCGAGGGUUCGAUUCCCUCCACCCGCUCCA
RNAcentral lists this transfer RNA (74 nucleotides) under Deltaproteobacteria bacterium. RNAcentral's name for it is "tRNA-Gly". It matches the Rfam family "tRNA". From Rfam's summary of the family: Transfer RNA (tRNA) molecules are approximately 80 nucleotides in length. Lineage: Bacteria; Pseudomonadati; Myxococcota; Myxococcia. The record is from RNAcentral.